This 1738-nucleotide long non-coding RNA is filed under the name Capra hircus (goat). RNAcentral describes it as "lncRNA (ENSCHIG00000005140.1)". Lineage: Eukaryota; Metazoa; Chordata; Mammalia; Artiodactyla; Bovidae. The record is from RNAcentral.
UCAAAAUCUGACCAAGAGGAAACAACCCAAAGACUUUUCUGGGGUAAAUAAUCACAGAAACAGCAAACACAAGGCCUCAAUGUGUGCCAGGCAGUCCUAAGCACAUGACACCUAUUAACCUGUUCAGUUCUCCCACAACCCUGAGAGAUCAACUGCAUUCUUAUGCCCAUUUUACAGAUGAGGAAACUGAGGCGAAGAGGCUGCUCUGGAGGCUGUUCCUACAAAGCAGAAGUCAACUCCCUUCAACCCACCUGCCUUUAAAAGCACCAGUUGGAUUCUGUCACUAAAAGGGUGAGAGGACGCUGGACCUACAUCGUUCAUUUGUUCAUCCGGCAUUCACUGCGGGCCAACGAUGGACCCACUAGUGAGUGAGACCCAACUUCUGCCCUUCAGAAGCCAAGCAGGAGCCACGCUGGGAUCAAGGAAUGAGGCUCCUUUGGCUCUGGCUGAACAUUUGCAGCGCUUUGUUCUGUAGCCAGAAAGGAUGUGAACGAGGAUGUGAAAGGGGAGUCUACAAGCCUAUCUACAGAAGUGACUACAAGCGCCACCACUUACUGAACAGCUGCUCUGGCCCAGACAUGGCGCUAAGUAUUUCACACACGUAAUCACACCCACCCCACCCCACCAAAUCCCUGCAGGAUUAUAAUCAUCCCCAUCUUGCAGGCUAUAAAGCUGAGACAGGAAGGUUAGAAGGUUACAUUGACAUGGAGUUCAAACUCUACUCGAAGUAGAGUUCAACUGGGUAACACUCAAGGCAGAGUUCAAACCCAGAUCUGCCUGACAUUCAAAACUCACACUUUAUCCAGAACAGAUGAAAAGGUAGGAGUGCUUCUUUCUUGGCGAAGAGAAGACAAGGGGACAAUGAUCUCCUUAAGGAAUCAGAAGGGUUCUAGGUGGAGGCAGGGCCUAGGAAUGGUCCAGUAAGCCGAGGGUGACAUUCCAGGGAUGGAGCUUGGAUGAAGGCAAGGGAGACUGUGGUCUUGCCCAAGCCUGGACUUCCCAUCUGCUAACAGGAGAGCCCAUCCUAGAGAUCUUGGAGGAAGCAGACCCAUCCUUGACGUUGGGGGUAGGGGAAGGAAGGGGCUGUGGUCCCUCAGAGCACACAGGCAGAAGGCAGGCCUGGAUGUGCCCUUGGGGAGCAACUAGGCUGACAGAAAGCCUGCUCAGGCUUCAGAAAGGAGUCCUCCCUCUCUAGCUAGCCCCCUGCUGCCUCUGCCCUCCAGCCCCAUCCAGGGAACACUCCCCCUCUCUGAACCCAUUCAGCUCCUUAGACCCCCUGCUAGCGUCCCCCUCAUCUCCCAGCCAACUCCUCUCUCCUGACCCCCUGCCACCUGCUCCUCUUCCUUCCUGGGCCCCCUCUUGGUCCCCACAACGAGCUCCCCACCUCAACCCUCCCCUCACCACAUCCUUCUUCAUCCACAUCUCCCAAGACCCAGCACCUCUCAGAAUGUAAAGUGUAGACCACACCCAACAAUGGCACAAUAAAACCUGGAACAAGUUCCCUGGACAAGAGAAACCAUUUAAGUCAGAGACCCUAAAAUCUCUGAAGGGGAGGGAAUGCGAGAGAGUGUUGGGUCCAGCCAUCACCUUCGGCUGCGGCAAUGAGGUUGAGUAAAUCGUGGGCUUUCCCCUGGCUGCACAGCGGGUGCAAGGCAGGAGCACUGAACUCAGGUCUAAUGUCAUCUGAUGUUUAACAUAAUACACAGGUCGGGACAUCGGGCAACACGGAAGACGGGAC